RNAcentral lists this long non-coding RNA (291 nucleotides) under Mytilus galloprovincialis (Mediterranean mussel). Lineage: Eukaryota; Metazoa; Mollusca; Bivalvia; Mytilida; Mytilidae. The record is from RNAcentral.
GUAAAUUUCUAAAUAACAUAGUGUCAUGCUUUUAAAACCAACAUUAAUAACAAUCAUUAUUAUGUUGCAUGAGCAAGUCAUACAUGUAUACUUUAUAUUCCAAAAAGGAAGAAAAUUCAAUAUUAUCAUUGUUACAUUUAUUUUUAUUUUCAGGUUGAGUCUGUUGCAUAUAAGAAAUUUUUGCAAUUGCACAAAUUUACAUUUUGGAGUUUACAUGAUACGCAAUUCGGAGCAUUUUUCCUCGGUAUUAGGAAUACUGUGAAUUUGGAUAUGAAGUAAAAUCUUAGUGAU